RNAcentral lists this ribosomal RNA (463 nucleotides) under uncultured bacterium. RNAcentral describes it as "partial 16S ribosomal RNA". It matches the Rfam family "Bacterial small subunit ribosomal RNA", at positions 28 to 507 of the family's 1533-position model. The record is from RNAcentral.
GACGAACGCUGGCGGCGUGCUUAACACAUGCAAGUCGAACGGUGAACCUCUCCGGAGGGGAUCAGUGGCGAACGGGUGAGUAACACGUGGGCAACCUGCCCCCGGCUCUGGGAUAACUCCAAGAAAUUGGGGCUAAUACCGGAUGUUCACCGCUUCCCGCAUGGGUGGUGGUGGAAAGGGUUUCCGGCUGGGGAUGGGCCCGCGGCCUAUCAGCUUGUUGGUGGGGUAGUGGCCUACCAAGGCGACGACGGGUAGCCGGCCUGAGAGGGUGACCGGCCACACUGGGACUGAGACACGGCCCAGACUCCUACGGGAGGCAGCAGUGGGGAAUAUUGCGCAAUGGGCGGAAGCCUGACGCAGCGACGCCGCGUGGGGGAUGACGGCCUUCGGGUUGUAAACCUCUUUCAGCAGGGACGAAGCGCAAGUGACGGUACCUGCAGAAGAAGCACCGGCCAACUACGUG